AAAGAGCCUUAUCCCCUCCAUUGGAGUUUCCAAAUCUGAGUGUGUAUACAAGAACAGUUAUUGCAAGGAGUUAUACAACCGUGGUUCCUUACGACUUACGCUUACGACUUAAGAUCGUGAAAUUAGAUGCAGAUAUAAGAGAUUCGGUUAAAAAACGAUUUGAUCAAUUUCAAUUUAUCACAUUGGAGUUAAAUUAAAAGCACUAUUUUAAAUAAAGCUAUUAGCAGAAAUGUCUGCGUGGAGGCAAGCGGGAUUAAAUUAUAUUAAUUAUUCGCAAAUAGCUGCCAGACUUGUUAGACAAGCUUUGAAAGCAGAGCUCCGAUCAGAUGCCCUAAAACGUGAUGAAAUAAACGUAAAAUUUACCCAAUGGAAAGAUGGUAAACCUAUUAGUAAAAUAAUUAUAGUUACCAGGUUUUGUAUUCUGUUCGAUAUAAAGCUAUAUUAUUUCAGUAUACUAUUUAGUUACGUAUAGUUAGAAAUCAUGUACCUUCAAAAAUUGAUCCAUAUCUAUAAAUCAGUAUCUGAAAAAUACUGGACAAUUAGAUCCAUUUUAGCACAUAUAUAUUAUAUUUCACUAUAUGAAGUAUCCUUCACCAGAUGUUACUUCAAUUCAUGUGACUGUUAUUAUUUGCAGUGAGAAAUGCUUCACAUUGAUUCAAAUGGUUUCAUAGAGAGCUGAAAAACAAUAAUAAUAAACAAAUAAACAUGCGUAAAUGUACAAUCAUGUAAAAUCCAUAAAUUAUGAUAUCACAGAUCGAGGAAAAACUCAUCCAACUCUUCAAAUAUAUAUAUACAUAUCCUUGGAUAUUGUAUAUGAAAUCAGAAAAGGAUCUAAUAAAAUAGUAUAGAAAGAAUUUAUAUAUAGCAAUUCAACAUUCUUAUAUGAAGUAAAAAUAUCUAAUAAUAUUA
RNA transcript from Bombus huntii, 909 nucleotides. It is a transcript of the gene named protein stunted-like, with no coding region annotated. The transcript is spliced from 5 exons. The record is from RefSeq and is a predicted model, not a curated record. NCBI's taxonomy places the organism in Eukaryota, Metazoa, Arthropoda, Insecta, Hymenoptera, Apidae.